RNAcentral lists this ribosomal RNA (465 nucleotides) under uncultured bacterium. RNAcentral describes it as "bacterial SSU rRNA". It matches the Rfam family "Bacterial small subunit ribosomal RNA", at positions 33 to 507 of the family's 1533-position model. The record is from RNAcentral.
GACGCUGGCGGCGUGCCUAACACAUGCAAGUCGAGCGGGGUCCAUCCGGUAGCAAUACCGGGGAAGACCUAGCGGCGAACGGGUGAGUAACACGUGAGAAACCUGCCCCGAAGUCUGGGAUAACCCGAGGAAACUCGAGCUAAUACCGGAUGUCUUCUUCUGAUCGCAUGGUCGGAUGAAGAAAGAUUUAUCGCUUCGGGAGGGUCUCGCGGCCUAUCAGCUAGUUGCGGGGUAACGGCCCACCAAGGCGUCGACGGGUAGCUGGUCUGAGAGGACGAUCAGCCACACUGGGACUGAGACACGGCCCAGACUCCUACGGGAGGCAGCAGUGGGGAAUAUUGCGCAAUGGGCGAAAGCCUGACGCAGCAACGCCGCGUGCGGGAUGAAGGCCUUCGGGUUGUAAACCGCUUUCAGUGGGGACGAAUUCAGACGGUACCCACAGAAGAAGCCCCGGCCAACUACGUG